This 460-nucleotide ribosomal RNA is filed under the name uncultured bacterium. RNAcentral describes it as "partial 16S ribosomal RNA". It matches the Rfam family "Bacterial small subunit ribosomal RNA", at positions 338 to 795 of the family's 1533-position model. The record is from RNAcentral.
CCUACGGGUGACAGCAGUGAGGAAUAUUGGUCAAUGGCCGGAAGGCUGAACCAGCCAUGCCGCGUGAAGGUCAGUGCCCUAUGGGCGUUAAACUUCUUUUGUGCGGGAGCAAUAAUGGUCACGUGUGGCCAGACGAGAGUACCGUACGAAUAAGCAUCGGCUAACUCCGUGCCAGCAGCCGCGGUAAUACGGGGGAUGCAAGCGUUUUCCGGAUUUAUUGGGUUUAAAGGGUGCGUAGGCGGUGAGGUAAGUCAGCGGUGAAAUGCCCCCGCUCAACGGGGUGAAGUGCCAUUGAUACUGCCUUGCUGGAGUGCGGAUGCGGUGGGAGGAAUGUGUGGUGUAGCGGUGAAAUGCAUAGAUAUCACACAGAACACCGAUUGCGAAGGCAGCUCACGGGUCCGCGAUUGACGCUGAUGCACGAAAGCGUGGGUAUCAAACAGGAUUAGAUACCCCAGUAGUC